GGGAUGAGACUGACGCUCAUGUACGAAAGCGUGGGGAGCAAACGGGAUUAGAUACCCUGGUAGUCCACGCCCUAAACGAUGUCUACUAGUUGUCGGAGGGUAACUCCUUCGGUAACGCAGCUAACGCGUGAAGUAGACCGCCUGGGGAGUACGGUCGCAAGAUUAAAACUCAAAGGAAUUGACGGGGACCCGCACAAGCGGUGGAUGAUGUGGAUUAAUUCGAUGCAACGCGAAAAGCCUUACCUACCCUUGACAUGCCACUAACGAAGCAGAGAUGCAUUAGGUGCCCGAAAGGGAAAGUGGACACAGGUGCUGCAUGGCUGUCGUCGGCUCGUGUCGUGAGAUGUUGGGUUAAGUCCCGCAACGAGCGCAACCCUUGCCAAUAGUUGCUACGAAAGGGCACUCUAUUGGGACUGCCGGUGACAAACCGGAGGAAGGUGGGGAUGACGUCAAGUCCUCAUGGCCCUUAUGGGUAGGGCUUCACACGUCAUACAAUGGCUGGUACAGAGGGCUGCCAACCCGCGAGGGGGAGCCAAUCCCAGAAAACCAGUCGUAGUCCGGAUUGCAGUCUGCAACUCGACUGCAUGAAGUCGGAAUCGCUAGUAAUCGCGGAUCAGCAUGUCGCGGUGAAUACGUUCCCGGGUCUUGUACACACCGCCCGUCACACCAUGGGAGUGGAAUCUGGCAGAAGUAGGUAGCCUAACCGCAAGGGGGGCGCUUACCACGCUGGGUUUCAUGACUGGGGUGAAGUCGUAACAAGGUAGCCGUA
Molecule: ribosomal RNA, 769 nt
Filed under: uncultured bacterium
Lineage: Bacteria
Description: bacterial SSU rRNA
Rfam family: Bacterial small subunit ribosomal RNA
Source: RNAcentral